AUACAGCUGAAGCAACCAAUGGAUGGCCCGUCUUUUUGGGGGGAUGCCUACCGCUGCCAGUUUCCAAGGUGCUGAUUGCAAUUACUUCCGUGUACCGUGUGCCCCAUCCAGAAAGAGGACUGCCGCUGCCGUUGCCGUUGCCGCAUGUUUACGGCCGACCACAUCAGCUUUGGUAAGGGGCAAUGGGGCAGAGACUGGCACUGGCACUGGUACUGGCACUCCGUUAAAAGCAAAAGCAGCAGGCAAUAAUGCCAUUCGCCCACCUCCCACAUGGCAUCGGGGGGGUGGCACCACCAUCCGUGGAUGAAUUGCGUGACUGUGCAACUGGAGCUGUGGAUCUGCAAGGAUAAGCAGCAGCAGGAGAGACUCAAUGAUACGUGGGUGUCCCCGUGUUGCUGUUGCUGUGCGGCACAUGUAUGCCAAAGGUCGUCUGCCAUUUCAAUGGACAAAUAUGAGUGCCAACCUUACCAAAAAUUAAAGAGAAAUGUGUCUAAAAACGUUAAUUGCAAUUCAAAAAAAAAAACAACAAAAAAAACCAUCUGAAAGAUAAACGCAUCUCCGUGCUCGUUGCAUGUACCUAUCGCUAGGAUAUCCAGUGUUAUCAUUGCCGCGAGGACCAGGGCUGCGUUAUACGACACAGUCCUAUACCCGGACACUACUCGAAAAGCGCUGAGUCUGUAUGGCCCUGACAUCUGUCGUCGAAGACUCAUGUUGCCACAUAGGGUUGAAGACCACACCGGCGCAGCGUAUAGCAGAAUCGAGGCCAUUCCUCUAGCCAGGAGUAAGCG
This 788-nucleotide small RNA is filed under the name Drosophila pseudoobscura pseudoobscura. Its description in RNAcentral is "GA32732". The record is from RNAcentral. Lineage: Eukaryota; Metazoa; Arthropoda; Insecta; Diptera; Drosophilidae.